UACGUAGGGUGCAAGCGUUGUCCGGAAUCAUUGGGCGUAAAGAGCUCGUAGGCGGUCUGUCGCGUCUGCUGUGAAAACCUGGGGCUUAACCCUGGGCUUGCAGUGGGUACGGGCAGACUAGAGUGCGGUAGGGGAGACUGGAAUUCCUGGUGUAGCGGUGAAAUGCGCAGAUAUCAGGAGGAACACCGGUGGCGAAGGCGGGUCUCUGGGCAUUAACUGACGCUGAGGAGCGAAAGCAUGGGGAGCGAACAGG
This 253-nucleotide ribosomal RNA is filed under the name uncultured bacterium. RNAcentral's name for it is "partial 16S ribosomal RNA". It matches the Rfam family "Bacterial small subunit ribosomal RNA", at positions 524 to 776 of the family's 1533-position model. The record is from RNAcentral.